This 185-nucleotide long non-coding RNA is filed under the name Junco hyemalis (dark-eyed junco). RNAcentral's name for it is "lncRNA (ENSJHYG00000013812.1)". The record is from RNAcentral. Lineage: Eukaryota; Metazoa; Chordata; Aves; Passeriformes; Passerellidae.
UGAGCGGAGGGGCCGGGGGGGGGAUGCGGGGAGCGGGGCCGCCUCCGUUUGGCUUCGGGGCGGGAGAGCGGCGGGGGCCGGGCAGGCAGCGCCGCUGUCGCCCCGGCACUGAGAGCUCGCUCGCACCGGAGGCAGCGCCGGCCGCUCGUGGCCCCGGAGGUGCCGAGAGAUGGAUUUGCUCUUAA